RNAcentral lists this small RNA (473 nucleotides) under Pongo abelii (Sumatran orangutan). RNAcentral describes it as "retained intron". The record is from RNAcentral. Lineage: Eukaryota; Metazoa; Chordata; Mammalia; Primates; Hominidae.
UUUGUGAUGGACGCCUCUGACCCCACCCAGCUCUCUGCAUCCUGUGUGCAGCUCUUAGGUCUCCUUUCUGCAGAACAACUUGCAGAAGCAUCGGUGCUGAUACUCUUCAAUAAAAUCGACCUACCCUGUUACAUGUCCACGGAGGAGAUGAAGUCAUUAAUCAGGCUUCCAGACAUCAUUGCUUGUGCCAAGCAGAACAUCACCACGGCAGAAAUCAGCGCCCGUGAAGGCACUGGCUUGGCAGGGGUGCUGGCCUGGCUCCAGGCCACCCACAGAGCCAACGGUUGACUGCACGGCAGAGGCAUGGCUGCCCUGAGCUGGGGAGAGGUGGCAGAGGGCAGUAUGGCUUCGCUGCCAAUAGUUUCUUCUCACAGGGGCAGAAUAACCCAAAGUAAUCCUACAUGAUGGUGCUCUGUGCUGAGAUGCAAUGAUGCAUAAACUGAGGCAUGCGGAGAUGGGAGUUGACAUCUGGC